Molecule: ribosomal RNA, 309 nt
Filed under: uncultured bacterium
Lineage: Bacteria
Description: bacterial SSU rRNA
Rfam family: Bacterial small subunit ribosomal RNA
Source: RNAcentral
AUUGAACGCUGGCGGCAGGCCUAACACAUGCAAGUCGAACGGUAGGCACAGAGAGCUUGCUCUUGGGUGACGAGUGGCGGACGGGUGAGUAAUGUCUGGGAAACUGCCCGAUGGAGGGGGAUAACUACUGGAAACGGUAGCUAAUACCGCAUAACGUCGCAAGACCAAAGUGGGGGACCUUCGGGCCUCACACCAUCGGAUGUGCCCAGAUGGGAUUAGCUAGUAGGUGGGGUAAUGGCUCACCUAGGCGACGAUCCCUAGCUGGUCUGAGAGGAUGACCAGCCACACUGGAACUGAGACACGGUCCAG